GACGGUGUAGUCAAGUGGUCUACGACGUUAGCCUCGAAAGCUAAUCCUCUUUGAGGGCGCAGGUUCGAAUCCUGCCACCGUCG
Non-coding RNA from Gaertneriomyces semiglobifer, 83 nucleotides. The record is from the annotation of a GenBank genome assembly. Lineage: Eukaryota; Fungi; Chytridiomycota; Chytridiomycetes; Spizellomycetales; Spizellomycetaceae.